RNAcentral lists this ribosomal RNA (207 nucleotides) under uncultured bacterium. Its description in RNAcentral is "partial 16S ribosomal RNA". It matches the Rfam family "Bacterial small subunit ribosomal RNA", at positions 568 to 774 of the family's 1533-position model. The record is from RNAcentral.
AGCGCAGGCGGGAAGACAAGUUGGAAGUGAAAUCCAUGGGCUCAACCCAUGAACUGCUUUCAAAACUGUUUUUCUUGAGUAGUGCAGAGGUAGGUGGAAUUCCCGGUGUAGCGGUGGAAUGCGUAGAUAUCGGGAGGAACACCAGUGGCGAAGGCGACCUACUGGGCACCAACUGACGCUGAGGCUCGAAAGCAUGGGUAGCAAACA